This 4684-nucleotide long non-coding RNA is filed under the name Panax ginseng (ginseng). RNAcentral describes it as "long non-coding RNA (PGIN_LNC016303)". The record is from RNAcentral. Lineage: Eukaryota; Viridiplantae; Streptophyta; Magnoliopsida; Apiales; Araliaceae.
AUAGUUUUGAGCGAGAGUCCCUCAACUGCAAACAUUAUUGCCCAACAGUGUCAUAAACUAUAUCAGAUUCGGAAAAUAUAUGCAAGAAUGGCCAACGUUGAGAGGUGGAAGAGGGCAAGGACUGCUAGGAGGGCGGAAUGGUUGGCUAGAAACAAGGGCAAGCGUAUCGGACACUAGUAAGGAAUCUCGAUGCAUCCAUCCUUGUUAUAUCAAGUGUCAAGUGUGUGUUUCAUUUUGUCCCAAAUCCUAUUGUAUGCUUGGAAUAUACUCUCUCUCUUUAGAGAUGAAUGCAAGUAGUUCGUCCAGGAGGGGAUAUACAUAUGGCCUAAUUGCUAGUGUUUAUGUAACCUCAACAAGCGGUAGUAAUACUACAACCUUCCACUGGUAUUCUCGAAGGUUUAUACACAAAAUAUAUAAGAAAUGGCUUCAUGAAGAGAAAAUAUUAAUAUAUUAUUAAUACAUACUAAUUACCUAAAUUCCUACUUAGUAGUAUUAGUGUACAAUGAAUAAAAUUAAGUUUAUUUUGUGCGUGUGUGAAUGUUUAUACAUUAAACCGUCACCUAUUAGUAUUUAAAUAAGUAUUAAUGUAUUUUUGUUCCUAUAUGAAUAUUUGUUGGAAAUUCAAGUUUAUAAAGCUUGUAUAUCCCCAGUUUAAGGACAAAUUAAGAAACAGAGAUAGAGUUUCCGGUGGUUGAUGAUCUCAUGUAAUGUGUACAUUGCAUAAUAUUUUUUUAGCUGUACCGAUAUUCCAGCAAACAGAAAGAUCGCGUAAAAGAUUUAGCUGUUACAGAUCUUCCAGCUGGUGUAGCAGUAAAACAAAAGAAGCGCAGCAUGUUCCUAUGAUGCUGUAUAUUAGAAAGUUCACUUCUCGUCCAUAACCCAGUACCUAAAUAUGUAUAAAGUAAAGCCUAAACUAAUUACAGACGCUCCAAACACUACACUGAAUUGAACCCACAAAUAGGAGAUAAAUGCCUCGAGCACAAUUGCCUCCCACAACCAAAACCACACCAAGGCGCCAACAACCACUUGGCUGACCGUAUGAAAUUGUUGGGAAACCCGUAACCAUGACUGCAAAACUAGCAACACAACAUGAGAAAUCUACAAUUCUGGGCGUUUUAAUUUUCCGACAAUAAAAAUCUAGAUUGAAAGUGCAACAAUAAUGAACCCAUAAGACAACUAAUCUAGUGGACAUGGAAUUGGUCAAUUAAAUUAACCAAUAAACUAGAUGUACAAGAACACAUUUGUUUUUCUAUGAUAAACUAGUUAGAAUUAACAAAUGAAAAUCUUAAUAUCUACUUUAUAUCCAAUCUAGCUUCCGGAGAUUACAUUUCAGGAAAGAUUAGGGUUCUUAUUGAUAGAAUGACUUGAUUCAUAUGCUAAUGUGAGUAUGUGACACAAGCUACUAUGCAAUCAAAACAAGUGUAAGAGUGUAUUGGAAUUUGUCAGUUAUCAAUUUUUUUUUUAAUUUUAAAUUUGUCCAGGUAUAUUUGCUCUACAUUAUUACUAGCUUUACCGUCCCCUAGCCGUUAAAAACUGAUUACAAAGUCUGGACGAUCAAAUUAACAAGUAAUUUUACAAGAAUAUGAACUCCUAUAAAUAACGGGGAAGUUAUUGGUGAAUUGGGUAUUUGUUACUAUUUUAUAGGAGUACCAAGGAAGUCCAUUAAAAGAGUUUAGAUGAUACUUACAAAAUAUGAACCUAGUGCCAAGAGAAACCCAGCAAGAGUUGUUGCAAGUCCAUUCACACCAAGCCAUUCCAUUACUGCAAUAGUAGCCAGUAAAAAGGAAUAUUGCAAAUUAGAAACAGUAAUCUGUUUAUUUAUUUAUUAUGUAAAGGGCAAUUCCAUGACUAUACAUGCUUAUGAAAAAUAUAUUGAUGUGGAGUUUCCAAAACUCCAAAUAAGAACUUUGGGCCCAAAGGGUACACAGUGCACAACCCGGAAGAGUUUUGGUUGUGGGGUGCCUCCGUAAAGAAUAAAAAAUAAAAACACUUCAUUAGAUACCAACAGAUAGGCCUGACAAGAUAUGGUUAUGAGUUGGUUUUGAUUUUAGUUUUCAAAAUAUGGUUAUGGUUCCAUUUAAGAACUAAAAUCAUAUUAACCAUUUUUAAUAUGGAUAAUGUGGGUUGGAAGUUAUGGUUAAAAACUAUAUUAACCAUUUUAAUAUUGUUAUGAGUUAUGGGUUAUGGUUUCAGUUCAUUUAAGAACUAAAAUUAUAUUAACUAUUUUUAAUAUGAAUAAUGUGGGUUGGAACCAUAUGGUUAUGGUUAAAAACCAUAUUAACCAUUUUAAUACUGUUAUGGGUUUCAUGAAGACUUGAUUUGNNNNNNNNNNNNNNNNNNNNNNNNNNNNNNNNNNNNNNNNNNNNNNNNNNNNNNNNNNNNNNNNNNNNNNNNNNNNNNNNNNNNNNNNNNNNNNNNNNNNCCACCUAUCCCACCCCCCCUCAAUUUUUGAUCAUUUUACGGAAGCAAGUACUGACUUGUUUUAUCAGUGGCAUGCUUAAAUCCUAGUGAUUGUUUCGCUCGUUUUGAUAAGGACAAAUUGAUUCAUCUCGCUAGCAUUUAUUCAAUGACUUUUUUCCAAUGGAUCUUAUGAAACUUCAUAGUCAACUAGAUAAUUACAUUUCUGAUAUGCGGACAAAUCAAGAGUUUUUGGAAGUUAAAGGGAUUAACUGUCUUGCAAGAAAGCUCGUAGGUACUAAGAAACAUAUUGUAUUUCCUUUAGUAUAUCGGCUUCUAAAGUUGGCAUUAAUCUUAUCUGUUGCGACUGCUACUGUUAAAAGAGCUUUUUCUACGAUAAAGAUAAUUAAGAGUAAUCAAGUUGAAAGACUUGAUUACAGUAGGAUAUGAAUAUUAAUAUCAAAUGUUUUGUUUAUUUUUAAAUUUAGAGGUGAGACUAUUAAUCUAUAAAUUAUAAAUGACUUAAUAAUCUUAAAAUUAUAAUUAUAAUUAUAAAUAUUUUUGAAAUUGGAUUCGUGAUGAAGAGGAGCUGGGCCUGAAUUUAUAUGUUUUAUAGAUGACUAUUAAACAUUUUGAAUCAAAAAUUUUGAUGUUGUAGCCUUGUAGCAUAUAUAUAUAUAUAUAUAUAUAUAUAUAUAUAUAUAUAUAUAUAUUAUAUAUAUAUAUAUAGUCCGUUUUUUCAGCGAACUAUAAGGAGUGAAUUAAGAAUGAAUCAGCUAUAGAGACGGGUUUUUUCGUCACUAUAGCAUAGAAAGUCGACGAAAAAAUCGAUCAUUAUAGUCGAUUCAGUUUUUUUAGUUCGCUGAAAGAAAUGGGAUUAUAUAUAUAUAUAGAUAUAUAUGCAAUAAUAAUAAUGGUGCACCUUAGGAAGGAGGGAGGGGAAACCGAGUCAAAAGUAAAGAAGGGUAGACAGACUGUAGGUGAUCAGCGGGAUAUAAUAUAACAUCACCUUAUUUUUCAGGACUAUGUCUCCUACCUCUGGGCCUAAACUACAAGUACAGAUUACCUAGAUGGUGGGGGCCCAAAUCGGCAUUGCAGCUGGCCACGUGAACGGAUCAGAUACUAUUUGAGUUUGGGACAAAGCGACGCUUACGGUUGGUUUAAAGGCUAUCCUUGUAAUAAAAUUAUUAAUUUCAAAAUUUUUAUUUAUUUUUAAAUUUAAAUUUAAAAUUAUUAAUUUAAAAAUUAUAAAAUAACUUAAUAUAAAAUUAUUUAAUAACUUAUUCAAUUAGGUAGGAUUAUAUUUUAACAUAACCUAUUAAAGUACGACUUAAAUAAUUUUUUAAUUAUUUUAUUUUAUGUCAACUUAUAAGUGAGUUACUCAACCGUUUUUUAUUACAGUCAACCUACUAUACUUUAUUUUUCUAACAAAAAAUUUUCUUCUAAAGUUGGCAUUAAUCUUACUGUUGCGACUGCUACUGUUGAAAGAGCUUUUUAUGCGAUAAAGAUAAUUAAGAGUAGGUUGCGCAAUUACAUGGCAGAUCAAAUGAUGAAUGAUUGCUUGAUUACAUACAUCGGAUUAUAUUAUGCAACGAUUUCAACGAAUGAAAACACACAGAGGGCAAUUGUAAUUAUUAUAUUCUACUAGUUAUUUUUUGUGGAUAAGUUUGAUGGUUACAACAAUGACAUAUUAUAUUUUUGUGGUUAUAUAUUUGAGUCGUUUUUUGUUACUAUAAUUAUCAAUUUUAAUUUAUUGUCUGAUACUCUAAUUAUUGACCCCACUACGAACCAAUGUUGGUUUCGCCACUGCACACACAUAUACACAGAGUAAAGGUCAAGGAAAAGAGAAAAAUAAAAUAAAAUUAGACAAAUCCUAAGCUGUAUAAAAAUAAUCGUAUCCUUGUCAUCCACGCGACUCUUAUCAUAGUUCAUCCAAAAGUUUACAUCAUUGGAGCAAAGACUAGCAAAUUUACAGCUUUAAAUUUAAAAAAUCCAUAAAUUUAAUAUAUGUAUCCAAUAUGGAAAAGAUACUAACCAGGUGAUUGAGAGUGGAUUCUAGUCCACCAGCUGCAAAAUUUGGGUGAAACGUCAAAAGAAACUUGUUGUUCAAGGGCUCCAAUCCCUUCAUCUCCAUUACUCUCUCUGCAUACAUCAGUUAUAAUGGACUCAGCCAUGGUGAUUAGACUCCUACCCCCUCUUUCCAAGGUCGUUAACUUUGAGUGCAAAAUGGAUUUGCGAGGUUUUAAUUCUGGAAAGCAAGUAAGGAUUGUGGUGGGUUUGUUUAAAG